Coffea arabica (coffee) is the source of this 2482-nucleotide RNA transcript. It is a transcript of the gene named aberrant root formation protein 4, with no coding region annotated. NCBI's taxonomy places the organism in Eukaryota, Viridiplantae, Streptophyta, Magnoliopsida, Gentianales, Rubiaceae. The record is from RefSeq and is a predicted model, not a curated record.
AUUUUUUACUGCUAGUAUAGUAGUAUUUUGUUGGAGACCGUGGGGGCGGGCCGGCCCUCAAAGCCCUAUAAAAUCGGCUCCUCUGCGCCGUAACGUAUAUAAAAAAUCGCUCACCCGAAUGGAGGACGCCCAGCUCCGCUCCAAUAGUAGCAAUUAGCCAUAGCCAUAGCGGCCCUGGCGAUCUCUUUCUGAAAGUCUCGAUACUCCAUUUCUAAAUCUUCUCCCUCUCCCAUCCUGACAAAAAAAAGCAGCAGCAGCAUGGAUCCAGAAACAACCGACCUUCCUACUCCAUGUACAUCUUCCGCAGCGGUCGUUGAUCGUCUUCGCCGGUCCCUCUCCUCAUGCUCCCAGUUGAUUCAAACCGGCGUUGAUUUCCGCAAGUCCGAGCAAUCUUUGUCGGACCUCGUUCUUUUCCUCAACUCCAUCUCCGACUCUUUUGUCAGGGAACCAGAAAACCAAGACUUGGAGAAUGCCUCUUUUCAAAUUCUCACUGAAAUUCGUCUCUUCAUUACCUCUUCUUCAGUGGACCAGCAGGCUGUUAUUGACGCUCUAUCAUUUGAGUUGCCAAAGACCGCUGCUAGGUUCGCCUGUGUAUCUCCAAGAUGUAUGGAGGUUGCUCAAUCCAUUGUGGAUUGUUUUACUGACAAGUGUAGUCCUCGCGAUAUGCUUUCCAUUCUCUGUGAGGCAAUAGGUUCUCCUAGGGAUGCGUUCACGGUGCCAAGUUAUUUCGCUCCUCUACUAAGUGGCUUUCCAAAAGUUUUUGUUUCAAUAAGGAGGAGGCAAUUUGAGCAAGUAAAAGCUGCAGUUCCCGUUAUUCUUAAUGCUUUGAAGGCAAUAGUACUAGAUUCAGAUGAUAAGGAUGCAGAUCUUGGCGAUAUUUUCCACAAAGCAAAUUGCAUUGCUGAUUCUAUGAAAGCAGUUUGUCUAGAGUUGGAAGGCAAGGACAAUGAGAAACUCUGUGCGUUAUUGGGCCUAUUUGUCUUGCAGAUCACGGCCCUUGCUUCAAUGGGCAUUGAAUAUAGGCUUGCACACUCUUCUCCUUUGGUGCUAAAGCUGUCACACUUCCUUCAGUCUUGUGGUUUAUCAUAUCUUGGUUUGAUAAUGGGGACAGAUGUUGAAAAACUUUUGGGCAUUGCUGUGGGAGAUGGUGGAGAUGAUUUGGUGGGUUGUUUCUCUGACAUCUGGCUUGGCGCGUCAAUUUUAGUAAUUUGGGGUUACAAGUCAAAUGAGGUUGCUUUGGCUGCUGGGGCAGAUUUGGUGGCACUCAAGGACGAACUUCAAAGUAGCCGGAUUAAAAGAUGGCAUGCAGUGGGCAUGUUAAAGCAUGUACUAUUGUGCUUAUAUCUGCCAUUGGAGUUGAAGAAGGAUGCCAUUAACUUCCUGCUAAGCAUUAUGUAUGCAAAGUUAUCCCAGAUGCCUAAUGAUGAAAAUGAAGACUACUCAACUUAUAUGCCAACUCUUUGUUCUGCUUUGCAGGCUAUUCAAGUGGUAAUUAUGUAUGCAACAGAUGUAAUCCUACGGAAGAAUGCUUUUGCAGCAUUCAAAGAGUUACUUGCAGAUUGUCCAACUUCCCUAAGAUUUGACAUUUUAAGGGCAUUAAUAAAAGAUGGCGACUCUUCUUCCAUGAUUGCAGUGCUUCUGGACUGUGUUAGGGAGGAAGUGCGCCUAGAAAGUAGCAAAAGUCCGCCUGCAAGCAAAGUCUCAAAAGCAGAAAGCGAAGGCUCUCAAGGCACUAUUUUUUGGAGUUCGAGUGCCCUUGAAUUGGUGGAGCUGGUUUUGAGGCCUCCAGGGGGAGGGCCUCCAUCGCUUCCAGAGCACAGUGAUGCAGUACUGCAGAACAGACCCAACCAAUCAACCAACAUACAUUGGUUGAUUAUGCUGCCUUCAAACUCAGUUCACAAAGUCCAUGAUCAAAAGUACUUCUAUGCCACUUGUCAAAAAUCUGACCAGAUACAUUUUUCUUGCUUCUCUUUCAUGCAGGUUCUUUCUGCUCUCAAUCUCUACAGAUUCAUUUUGAUCAAGGAAUCGACUGGUCAGAUAUGACACAAGCUGAGAAGGUGAUUUGAAGAACAAGCAUCAGUCACCUUGGAAAAAAAAAUCCAAUGAAGCCACGUACUAUUGUGCUGUUGUGGUGGAAUUCAUCCCAGCUUCAAAAAGGAAUGUGAAAAAGAACCCUUUAAUGCCUAGAAUCAAAUUUCACACGAGUGCCCAUAUUCUGCAAUUGAUAGCACAACAAAACAUGAACAUCUCUUCUAGACACCUGAAACAGGAAAAAGCAACAAUUCCGGGGUGCUUUCCAGGGACAGCCUGGUGAAGGCUCACAGUGAAUGGCUUCUGCCUCUCCGGACUUUAGUGACAAGAAUGAUGGCUGAAGCUCAAUGUGACAGUGACGAACUAGCACUGUGUGGCUUGAAUCCGGUCGAGGUUGUCUUGUAUCGUUGUAUCGAACUUGUUGAACAACUUCUGUAGAGCGUGUCGCGAA